UAAUAGUCUUUUAUCUGCCUAGAACAAUAAUUUCCCACUUAUCCCUCUAAAGCAUUUUUGUUUAUGGUAGAUAAAAAAAUGUAUGCACCUCUUGCCAAGUUGUUAUCUUGACAUGAUAUAACCAAGAGAUAAAA
Molecule: long non-coding RNA, 134 nt
Organism: Bradysia coprophila
Lineage: Eukaryota; Metazoa; Arthropoda; Insecta; Diptera; Sciaridae
Source: RefSeq, a predicted model, not a curated record